GGCCUUCUCAGGCAGUUCUGCUUGGAGAUGAGCACAGCACGCUCUCUUGUACCUCUCCUCCCUGUUCCCAACUGUUACAAACACAGUGAAUAUUUAUUUGGUCCACAACUGGGGACAGUAGAAAGGACACCAGCUUGGAAUCAGUUCGGACCUGUGUCUGCUGCACAGCUGAAUCCCUGGGAAACUCUUUUAGUGUAGCAUGGCAGAAAGAACAAUGGCUAUGCCCACACAAAUACCUGCUGAUGGAGAUACAAUGGAGUUUCGCUCUUGUUAACCAGGCUGGAGUGCAAUGGCGCUAUCUCUGCUCACUGCAACCUCCACCUCCCAGGUUCAAGCAAUUCUCCUGCCUCAGCCUCCCAAGUAGCUGGGAUUAUAGGAGCCCACCACCAUGCCCAGCUAAUUUUGGAGGCUGAAAACUGGACAUCUUAUGUAGAACCAUAGAAACUGAGAUAAGUAGAUUUUAUGUCUGAAACUGACAUGCCUUUUCUUUUACCAGGCCUUUAGUACAGAGGUUUGUGUUUCUCUGAGUAAAGCUGGGCUUGAGAUUUGAUGUUGCUAUAGUGUGAUUCUUACUACCCUAUGGGCUUUUUUUGGCGGGGGAUAGAGUUUCACUCUUGUUGCCCAGGCUGGAGUGCAGUGGCACAAUCUCUGCUCAUUGCAACCUCUGCCUCCUGAGUUCAAGCGAUUCUCCUGCCUCAGCCUCCUGAGUAGCUGGGAUUAUAGGCAUGCGCCACCACGCCCGACUAAUUUUGUAUUUUUAGUGGAGAGGGAGUUUCUCCAUGUUGGUCAGACUGGUCUCAAACUCUCAACCUCAGGUGAUCUGCUCGCCUCUGCCUCCCAAAGUGCUGGGAUUACAGGCAUGAGCCACUGCGCCUGGCCUACCCUAUGGGCUUUGAAUGCCUCUGGUGAUACCUUGUGUUGAGGGUGGGGUUGGUUUGCCAGAGGAUGUUUUUCUGAUGAUGAUUUCACCCUCAACCUUAAGUCUUCCUUUUGUGCUAUGCCUCAGAAAGAGUAUGUCUCUUGCAAUAUCUCUUGCAAAGAAUAUGUAUCUUGACAGCAGUUAGCCUGGUGAUGAAGGUACGUGAGAAUACUUUUUUAUUUGAUUGCCAGUCUUAGGCAAACACUCUCCCUCUGGGCCCCAGGGAUUUGACCUUCUCUUUCUCUUCUUCUGACAUGGUUCUGAAUCCAUUGUGAAUUUCUGCACAUCUUCUAGGGCUUCAAGCUUUCUUUGUGUUCCCUACUUUCAGCAGCAAUGUGCUUUCACCAGCGCCCUAAGAGAGUGCUUCCUGGCUCUUCACCCAUAGAUGAAGGCUUUUUUAUUCUGUAGAGGAGAAAGUUGUGAGUGGAGCUUCUUGCCAGCAUUGCUGCUGUUGCAUGUCCCAGUUCUGUAACUUGAGAGAGAUAUUUUUUUUUCAGAGUCCUAUCAAUCUUUCACUGAAUGUCUAGUUGAGUUCAAGGAGAAAAAGUUUUCAAGGAGCUACAGAUUAUUUUUUGUUCUACAAAAAAGACACAGGUGGCCGGGCGCGGUGGCUCGCGCCUGUAAUCCCAGCACUUUGGGAGGCCGAGGCGGGCGGAUCACGAGG
This 1583-nucleotide long non-coding RNA is filed under the name Homo sapiens (human). Its description in RNAcentral is "HSALNT0340916". The record is from RNAcentral. Lineage: Eukaryota; Metazoa; Chordata; Mammalia; Primates; Hominidae.